This 2887-nucleotide long non-coding RNA is filed under the name Fragaria vesca (wild strawberry). RNAcentral describes it as "long non-coding RNA (FVES_LNC000194)". Lineage: Eukaryota; Viridiplantae; Streptophyta; Magnoliopsida; Rosales; Rosaceae. The record is from RNAcentral.
UUAUAUAGUUAAUUAGUGUUCAUCAUCUUCUUAAUUUAUUUUGUAAACGAUAAAGUAUUAAGCUUACUGUGGCGAAGAACUCAGUAGUAUAUUAUUGGAUCAUAAACAAGAGGAGGUAGAAUGGUCCAAAAGGGAGUGGUUCAUGAUCGACAUGCAUGUGAAAAGCAGAGGGUCACUUAUUGUUCAUGUCUAGUAGGUGAAUAUAUAUACCUAAUCUGAUAAUCUAACCCACGUCUGGAAGGAUUAUUUGUGUAAAGCAAGAGGCAAAGAAACUAUGGAGCUGUUANNNNNNNNNNNNNNNNNNNNCCAUAGCCUAAGUUGUCCUAAGUAGGUUUUCUUUCUUUCUUAUUUAAAGAUCAUGGCAUUUUUUUUAUUUAUCUGUUAAAUGAAGGUAAUUCAUUCAAAGAAAAUUUUACUGAUAGAUUGUAACAAUAAAAUCAAUGCCAUAAUAUCAUGCAUGGGCCUAUCUUCUAGUGUCUGAUAAGAGAGCUAUGAACGGUACACCAUGAGACUGAAAAAUUGACCAUAGCAAUCAUGGAGACUCUAAGACCGAUACAGUGCCAACAAAUUAAAAAUGGUAGAAAUAGUGCCGGUAUACCAACCAGCUAAUGACUACAAACCCACAUACAUGUGCACAAAUCAACUCCGCGAGUGAGUGAACACUGCCGGAGCUACAUUAAGACCAAAAGCUGCCAUGACACUCUCAAACCUUUUGAAGAUGGUCAAUUACACUAUUAUUGUAAGACUAAAUAGUUACAAUUAUAUAUAAUUGUAAUGAUUUGGUCAUAUUUUCAUUUAAUAAUAUGUCACAUAAUAAUGAUUAGUUUGAUAUUUUAAACUAUAUAAUCUCUUUCCUCGUUGCAUCUUGUCAUAUUCAUCAUCAUAAUCGAUUAGUUAUUAACUAAUCAUUUUACAUGCAUGUAAACUUUGAAUAUAUAAUCAUUUACAUGUACAUAAAUGAAACUAUAUAUUAACAAAAAUAAUAAGUUCAAUUUUAAUUAACCACAUAAAUUUUGACAGACAAUUUAAAAUUUUAUAUAUAUAUUUUUUUGUAUUUUAUACUCAGCCCCUCUAAACUUACAGUUCUUGCUCCACCGUUGUGAGUGAAUACAUGUCAUUAUUCAUUAAGUGAAAUCUGACAUUGUGAUUAACUUUCUACAGAUCGGACAUGAUAUAAUAUUGAUGAGUUUCUAUAGGAUUCUAGCAUUGUAUGAUUGAAGAGCGGAGUUCAGCUAAUCAAUAAAUUUCUGGCAUAAGAAACUUAAUAGCUAGUUAUUACGGACUGGUAUUGGGCUACCAGGCUUUGAGCGAUAAUAAUGUAAAUGUGGUUGCGUGCCCUAAUGCUCACAGUGUAAAUUAGGUGAUGACUAUCUAUCACGAUAUUGUAACUAGGUAGCUGGAGAUUCAGAUCGAUGAGUUUGAUCUAUAUCUCUGGACAGAUGAAACCAGAACAGAAAAAAAAUCAAUGCGUGUUUACUGAAUCCAUGAGAAAGAUAAACUCUAGCUAUAUGCAGGUUUCCACUUGGUUAAGGCAUUUUUUUUUUUCAAUUACUUUAAGAAAGUGCAAAACUACAACAUACACCUCUAGGAUCUCCAUUUCCAACUGAUGAAAACGGNNNNNNNNNNNNNNNNNNNNAUUAAACAUAGUUACGGAUUUGUUAAAUAGAAAGGACGAUGCAUUUAGAUAUUAGCAAAUGUAUAUAAGAGAAGUUUAAUUACCAGUGCCCAAACUAAAUAAGGCAUUCCUCCUAUGAGAUAGAGCACAACUCCACAAGCAAUACAGUGAUAAGGGUAAGUGUAAUGAAGAAACUUAUAGAAGCUUUGUUUCUUCAAAUCUCCAACAUUGUAUAGUUUUCCAUCAUACUGCACAAUUUCAAAUUUAAUUAACAAUAAGUAUGUGUUAAUUCAACAACAAAAUUAUGCAUGUAAUUAAUCAAGUGAGGAGAACAUGAGAUUUCUACGUACACUCCCAAAACGUUUACGAAAAUCAAAAAUCCAGCCAAUAUGACUAAACCAGAAACCCUUAAGAGGAGUAUGAGGGUCACUCGGCGUGUCUGUAAACUGGUGAUGACUCCUGUGCGAGCUAACCCAUUCUAAUGGACUUCCCUGUAAUAUAAACACCAAAAUCCAACUUCAAAACUUUGUAAUGAAGAUUGUAGUAACUAAAAGUGUAAAGAAUGAAAGCUAGAGAAUAUAUGAUGAACCUGAAGUGAAUGAACGGCACAAUAGGCGAAGAAGUAUUCCAGCCAUUUGGGAAGCUUGAAGCUUUUGUGGGCGAGAUUUCUAUGGAAAGAUAGAGUUAUUCCCACACCGGUGACAAAGUAAAGGGCUACACCCAACCAAAACGCAGACCAGGUGAAGUAAAAUGGUGCGAGAAGAGCAAUGAGAUGAACAACAGAAAGGGUGAUGACACUAGCGAUGUCGACGCCAUUCCAUUGUCUCCCCAGAAAAUAUACAGGCUUCUGCACCACCCAAAGUAGCCUUGCCAUCUUCUUUAAGCUAAGCUUAUAUUAUCAAAGCUGCUUUGCUAGCUUCUCUCUUCUGUAGUUGUGUGUAGAAGUAUCAGUGUUUGCACAUAUAUAUACACAAAUACAAUAUACAUAUGAAGGGGGAAGCUAGUUAUGGGAGUUGCUUGUUAGAUUGAGAUAUUGGACUUGCAUUUACUUCCUCAUGUUCUGCAGGCAACCUACCGAUGUAACGAUGCAAUAACUAUGCCUGGCUAUUUACCUGAAGACAAAUACUUGUGUGUCUUAAGAUAUAGAUAUCUUAACCACAUGGUUGCUUGGAUCAUAAACAAGAGAAGGUAGAAUGGUCCAAAAGGGAGUGGUUCAUGAUCGACAUGCAUGUGAAAAGCAGAGGGUCACUUAUUGUUCAUGUCUAGUAGGUG